GGCAAAAGCAAUGAUAGUAUGUUUCUAAUUAUGAUAUUAUGAACUAAUAUGAUGAACACAUUAUCGAUGCUCCCACUUAGUUUUACCAUUGCACAAACCCUCGACCAAUAUGUAUAAUUUUAAGAGUGAUGUCUGUAAUUUGGCUCUCGGCGAUGUGUGAAAUCCGAAACUCGUGAAAAAGCCUACGGAGUACCAGGUUUUGGGGAGGUUGNCCUCUAUUUCAAAAUUGAAUGUUAUGAUAAGAAUCAUUCUUUACUACGUGGUUAGUGAAUGAGAAAAACAAAACAGCUCGUCAACAUUGAUAAUACAAGUAUUUUAUAAGUAAACAAUAUAAUAUAUUUAAUAAAAAUAGAAAUUAUCUUUAAAAACCUAGUUGAUAUGUUUUAUCUUUGUCUUACGGACUCGAUGAGAAAAAAAAAGGCCAGCGCGUUGUACUUCUUAAUCAAUUCUCCUUGCCUUAAUUCUUUUAAUGAAUUUUUCAUCCUCAUAAAGCAAUGCUUUAUUAGACCCUGACAAAAGAAAACCUUAAUUAGACGCGCGGCACAUCACAUCAAAAACUCGUUGAAGAACGACAUAUUCCAAACAUUAGUCUUAUCUUAUGCUCUGUACGACUGGAACUAAAUCUUGAGUAUUUCCUCUGAGUCUUUCAUGCUGGUUGAGAACUGAACCGCUUCGUUUGGGUCGUGUAAACUUGAACACUUGAUCUAUAUGUGCCAAGUAUCGGGUCUUAUCGUUCCUCCAUUGAUUUAGCGAUCUGAGAGUUAUCGCAAUCUUCAGGUCAGUUCCGGGCUGUAUAUUCACCAUCUGCAGNUCUUGAAACCAAGAUAUCUUACGCUCUUUUAGUCGAGGUUUAGUCAAGAAGGGCGAGGCAUUUGAUACUAAUAACAGUUAAUAUUAUCUAUUAACCAAUGGCAUGGAGCCACGUUCUCCAAAACUGGACUGACUCAACACAAUCUACCUCUUUUUCAAGAACUUUGCUGUGUAGAAAUCGGUUUUCAAUGUGGUUCGUUACCUUCUAACUGGGUUCUCUGUGUGCUCACUCGGACACCUUUGUUGUUAGACUACUAAUGCUGUUAUUUGCAAGCGUCUUUGCUUCAUCAACUGGAUGGCUCUUCCACGCGUCGAUAUUAGGGUGACAAAAGCUUCAACACCGAACUACCCUUGUCAGGCUUCCGUCAAGCGGAUGGCUUGACGCUUAGUGCACUGUUCAAAAUUAAAAAAUUAAUAACUUCACUAUCGCAACAUUAAUGUGAAUUAGUACCGCCUUUUUGAGAUUGGGGUUUUUAAUCUUUUUUGUUUGCAUGGUACAAUAUUUGCCUUUGAAAUUCACGUUAGUUCUGAUUAAUCCCACCAAACAAGCGCUGAAUUCCAUGUGGGAUUAACUUCAUUAAGAAUAUAUGGCAAAACCUUUUAAAAAGUACAACUUAAGCUUCUUAGGAGCUUUGUGCUCUUUUGUUGUCUCGUUAUGUUACGAGUGCUAAACUCCACGACGUCCACAAUAAUCAUGUUUGUUGAGUAAUAUUUAUCCUUUCUUACAGCGAGUGGAUUUAAAGCUUUAGGUUUUUUAGGUCAUGGAUGAUUGUUUAUUGAUCAUAAUUGUAAAAUAAAGCUUUAAAGUGCCAUUUAAAGUUAACAGUAGAAGUUUUAGGGUUUAAAAUGGUCAUUUCGAAAAUGCGUCGGCUUCAACCGCGUGGGAUAAAUCCGCGUCAAUGCGUUCUAAAGCUGACGUAGUUCUUUUCUAACUAUCUAAAGUGCGCACGCGGUGUACAGGAAUUGCUUGAUCUUAAAAGAAAAAAAAAAUCUUUAAAAAAUCUGUCGAAUAUAAAGCUGCAUGGGUCGUUGAAUUAUUUUAUUUGCAAUUCUUACAUCUUGUUGCUAUGUUUUUAAAAUCCAAUAAACAUCUAUUGUGUUUUUUUGUUAAAAACUACUGCGCGCGCUCUGCAGACAUCGCGCUGUGUCGCUUACGCAUUUCAACAAAAACUCCAACCGCUUUCAGUUUAAUAAAUGCAAAACAUGGCUUCUAGAAGUUGCAGUUUACGGACAAAGUUUGAACAAGAGAAAGGUCUUGGCCAGGAAACGAUCACCUGUCUUUGUAGUCCUGGAAACCAAAAUGAUCAACCAAGCCUUGAUACAAGAGAGGGAAUCGUCCAAGAGAUUCAACGCAUUCUUGACGAUGAUAAAAAACCUUUCCGAUAUCUCCGAAGACAAAGCAAUCGUUUCAAAAGACCAAAACUUUCCGAGGUUUGUGACAUCAGCUCGCCAGUCACUCUCUUGACUAUGAAGACUCACAAUGGAAAAGAUUUCACUCUGUUUUCACCCCGAAAAGACUGCAAACGAAAACGAGAUGACGAUUCUGGAACGGUACAUUAAACUGUGUAAAUUGAACUAAAGUUAAUAUUAGUUAUAAAAUAAAAAGUAAAUUUCAAAAAGGAGAUUUNUUCAUUUGAUUCCUGAUUCUGAUUUGCAAUUAUUUAGAUGACAUUAGUAUCUAAUUAUUAUUACAAUCAGCAAAAAAUGAUUUUUCAUAUUCAUUUUCAAAAAUGAUUUAUACAUCUGCUACUAAGUAUAGCCAUCAUAUGUUAUCGUUUAUAUUUCAAUUUAAGUCAAUGCAAAAAAAUAUCCAAUUGCUGAUUAAUAAAANGAAUCCAUCGAAUCUUCAUUCUGAAAGAGAAAUAAUUGUAUUAGUAGAUCACGAAAAGUACGGAACCAUCUUGAAUCCAUAGUGUUAUGGUAAUAAAAACUCCGUAGUAUAGCUAUUUCAAGC
RNAcentral lists this long non-coding RNA (2764 nucleotides) under Exaiptasia diaphana. RNAcentral's name for it is "uncharacterized LOC110234042, transcript variant X1". The record is from RNAcentral. Lineage: Eukaryota; Metazoa; Cnidaria; Anthozoa; Actiniaria; Aiptasiidae.